CCUACGGGUGGCAGCAGUCGAGAAUCAUUCACAAUGGGGGAAACCCUGAUGGUGCGACGCCGCGUGGGGGAAUGAAGUUCUUCGGAUUGUAAACCCCUGUCAUGUGGGAGCAAAUUAAAAAGAUAGUACCACAAGAGGAAGAGACGGCUAACUCUGUGCCAGCAGCCGCGGUAAUACAGAGGUCUCAAGCGUUGUUCGGAAUCACUGGGCGUAAAGCGUGCGGAGGCUGUUUCGUAAGUCGUGUGUGAAAGGCGCGGGCUCAACCCGCGGACGGCACAUGAUACUGGGAGACUAGAGUAAGGGAGGGGGAACCGGAAUUCUCGGUGUAGCAGUGAAAUGCGUAGAUAUCGAGAGGAACACUCGUGGCGAAGGCGGGUUCCUGGACAGUAACUGACGCUGAGGCACGAAGGCCAGGGGAGCGAAAGGGAUUAGAUACCCGAGUAGUC
This 446-nucleotide ribosomal RNA is filed under the name uncultured bacterium. Its description in RNAcentral is "partial 16S ribosomal RNA". It matches the Rfam family "Bacterial small subunit ribosomal RNA", at positions 338 to 795 of the family's 1533-position model. The record is from RNAcentral.